GGUAUAGACCCGAAACCCGGUGAUCUAGCCAUGGGCAGGUUGAAGGUUGGGUAACACUAACUGGAGGACCGAACCGACUAAUGUUGAAAAAUUAGCGGAUGACCUGUGGCUGGGGGUGAAAGGCCAAUCAAACCGGGAGAUAGCUGGUUCUCCCCGAAAGCUAUUUAGGUAGCGCCUCGUGAAUUCAUCUCCGGGGGUAGAGCACUGUUUCGGCUAGGGGGCCAUCCCGGCUUACCAACCCGAUGCAAACUGCGAAUACCGGAGAAUGUUAUCACGGGAGACACACGGCGGGUGCUAACGUCCGUCGUGAAGAGGGAAACAACCCAGACCGCCAGCUAAGGUCCCAAAGUCAUGGUUAAGUGGGAAACGAUGUGGGAAGGCCCAGACAGCCAGGAUGUUGGCUUAGAAGCAGCCAUCAUUUAAAGAAAGCGUAAUAGCUCACUGGUCGAGUCGGCCUGCGCGGAAGAUGUAACGGGGCUAAACCAUGCACCGAAGCUGCGGCAGCGACGCUGAUGCGUUGUUGGGUAGGGGAGCGUUCUGUAAGCCUGCGAAGGUGGCCUGUGAGGGUUGCUGGAGGUAUCAGAAGUGCGAAUGCUGACAUAAGUAACGAUAAAGCGGGUGAAAAGCCCGCUCGCCGGAAGACCAAGGGUUCCUGUCCAACGUUAAUCGGGGCAGGGUGAGUCGACCCCUAAGGCGAGGCCGAAAGGCGUAGUCGAUGGGAAACGGGUUAAUAUUCCCGUACUUGGUGUUACUGCGAAGGGGGGACGGAGAAGGCUAUGUUGGCCGGGCGACGGUUGUCCCGGUUUAAGCGUGUAGGUGUGUGUUCCAGGUAAAUCCGGUUCACUUUAACACUGAGGCGUGACGACGAGGCACUACGGUGCUGAAGCAACAAAUGCCCUGCUUCCAGGAAAAGCCUCUAAGCAUCAGGUAACAUCAAAUCGUACCCCAAACCGACACAGGUGGUCAGGUAGAGAAUACCAAGGCGCUUGAGAGAACUCGGGUGAAGGAACUAGGCAAAAUGGUGCCGUAACUUCGGGAGAAGGCACGCUGACACGUAGGUGAAGUGAUUUACUCACGGAGCUGAAGUCAGUCGAAGAUACCAGCUGGCUGCAACUGUUUAUUAAAAACACAGCACUGUGCAAACACGAAAGUGGACGUAUACGGUGUGACGCCUGCCCGGUGCCGGAAGGUUAAUUGAUGGGGUCAGCGCAAGCGAAGCUCCUGAUCGAAGCCCCGGUAAACGGCGGCCGUAACUAUAACGGUCCUAAGGUAGCGAAAUUCCUUGUCGGGUAAGUUCCGACCUGCACGAAUGGCGUAAUGAUGGCCAGGCUGUCUCCACCCGAGACUCAGUGAAAUUGAACUCGCUGUGAAGAUGCAGUGUACCCGCGGCAAGACGGAAAGACCCCGUGAACCUUUACUAUAGCUUGACACUGAACAUUGAGCCUUGAUGUGUAGGAUAGGUGGGAGGCUUUGAAGCGUGGACGCCAGUCUGCGUGGAGCCGACCUUGAAAUACCACCCUUUAAUGUUUGAUGUUCUAACGUGGACCCGUUACCCGGGUUGCGGACAGUGUCUGGUGGGUAGUUUGACUGGGGCGGUCUCCUCCUAAAGAGUAACGGAGGAGCACGAAGGUUGGCUAAUCCUGGUCGGACAUCAGGAGGUUAGUGCAAUGGCAUAAGCCAGCUUGACUGCGAGCGUGACGGCGCGAGCAGGUGCGAAAGCAGGUCAUAGUGAUCCGGUGGUUCUGAAUGGAAGGGCCAUCGCUCAACGGAUAAAAGGUACUCCGGGGAUAACAGGCUGAUACCGCCCAAGAGUUCAUAUCGACGGCGGUGUUUGGCACCUCGAUGUCGGCUCAUCACAUCCUGGGGCUGAAGUAGGUCCCAAGGGUAUGGCUGUUCGCCAUUUAAAGUGGUACGCGAGCUGGGUUUAGAACGUCGUGAGACAGUUCGGUCCCUAUCUGCCGUGGGCGCUGGAGAACUGAGGGGGGCUGCUCCUAGUACGAGAGGACCGGAGUGGACGCAUCACUGGUGUUCGGGUUGUCAUGCCAAUGGCACUGCCCGGUAGCUAAAUGCGGAAGAGAUAAGUGCUGAAAGCAUCUAAGCACGAAACUUGCCCCGA
Molecule: ribosomal RNA, 2116 nt
Filed under: Salmonella enterica subsp. enterica serovar Poona
Lineage: Bacteria; Pseudomonadati; Pseudomonadota; Gammaproteobacteria; Enterobacterales; Enterobacteriaceae
Description: partial 23S ribosomal RNA
Rfam family: Bacterial large subunit ribosomal RNA
Source: RNAcentral